ACUGCGACAUUCCGUUUAAAAUUUUUUCCGCCAACUUUUUAACUGUACGUCACCGAAUUGCUAAAAGAAGAAAAGCUGAGAUUUUUUUCUUAGGAGCGAAAUAAGGGGUUAUCGUGUAAAUCAUUAACAAAUUCCUUUACUGACAAAUCGUUCAUAUUGAGUGCAAAGUUAAGGAGAAUGUUGCUUUUGAGAUGAGAACUAUCUUAGAUCACAGAUAGAAAAUUAUUGUCGCUUUACUUAUAUUCUCGUAACUUUUACUUUUCUUUCGGAAUUUGACAAGGAGCUUUGCAAAAAGUGUGCAACUAGAUUGUUCUGUGAAAUGAACCAACAGAGUAAGCACUUGGACACUUGCUAAGGCACUCAACCAAUAUUAACAGGAAGAGGCAAAACGACACUUCGAUACUCCAUACUUACAAGACAAAAGAGAGUGACUUAGAUGGUGACUGCAGAAACCUUCAAGUGAACUGAAACCCGUAUUACCUGAGAAAAGUCUCAGAUUAAAGAAAAAUAUUAUUCAUUUUGUCAUAAACGAGGGAUCGAACCCUCAGAUUUCGCUGUACGAGGUAGGGAAAAUAAGGAAUAACAUCUUUCCUAUUCUUUAGUGUUUGAUUAUUUAUGACUACAGAUUUUAAAAUGGCGGAGAGUGUAGAAUAUAUUUUUAACUACACGAAUUUCAGUACUGUUUUAGCAGUUUUAAAGCUGUAUUUCAGUACUUAAGACAACCAAAUUGAGAGUACUAUAGAAACAUGUUUCUCGAGUUUAACGAACAUGGAUAAAUUUUUUAGCCGUACUCCUAAAGAAGAUUUGAAACCCAGGCGCUCGGAUUUCGCACUCCGACUCUCUUUCACUGAGCUACAGAGAAGCCUUUGAUAAACCAAGGUGUUAGGAGGCUUCUAUGACUCAUAUAAGACGAGCGUUCCGCGUAGUUCGAGGAUCAACAAUGUUGAAACCAACGUGCAUGUAAAUAGAAGAAGAACGAUUGUUACGUUUCAGCUUGGUUGUCGAAUUUGAGGAUGCUAGUUUUGGGACUAGGAUUGACUACCUGUUUCAUUUAAAAUCAAGAGCCAUGAUUCUGGAAAUUGAGAAUUAAUUUGUUUUGGUUUCCAUCCUGUCACUCAUAGCUAACGACCCACUAUUAGACGUUGUUGUUUAUCCAUUGCCGUCCCCAUCGUAUAAUGAGAUAAUUAUGAUCAGGGUCAACAGACAGGUUUGGUUUGAGGUCGAGCUAUCCUAGACCGCUGAAAAAAACAAUGUCGAAUGACAAGCGAAGGAGAUACAAUAUCUCACUUAAAUUGCAGUUCAGAGGAUGUGUAGUUGAUCAUAUAAUAGGAUAAGAUUUAAAGUAGUCAGAGAAAUGCUCUCUUAAUCUAGUUAAGCCAUUUAAGGCCCGUGUUCUGCUUCAGAAACACUGAGGGGUUAGUGAGUUAAAAAAAAACCAAACCGAGACUCGCAUGACGACGAGCUUUCUGUUUCAAAAUCUGGGACUCCAAGAUUUCGAUUUUUAACCGAUCAACACCUUUUUAUCGUUGCUUUACUUAGAGUUUUGCAACGCAGUACUGACGACAGGAAAAUAUCGCUAUAAGGUCUUUUGCGCUCGUUUUUUGUGGUAUGUCAGACUUUAUUUGCAAUAUUUCCAAACAACAACCACGAGCUAUACAAAUGCCACCUUUUGACCUUUACCCUCGAGUAUGUGAAACAAUUUUCAGGCUUUGAGAAUCUGGAAGGAAUGCGAGACUUUGAGAUCGAAAUGAGAGGUGACAAGAAUUCGAGAUCGGGAAAAGAGUUGGCAAGACCCGGCGUGAUCUUUAAGUUGCAGUUCGACUACGCCCUUUACAUGGCUUCAUGAUUCUGCCUGGAGGGUCAGUUCCAAUAACCGACAUAGGGACAGAUUCUGGCCAAACCGACCCUUGUCUUUGAGUUCGAUCCGUUUCUCAUCACGUUUUAGCGAGGAUAAAUGGAUAACGUAGAGGUUUGAGGGCCAAACAAUACAAACAACACGGCUUAGAAAACUCGAGAGAGAGAGAGUGCAAUUCAGUCAUACAAUCGUAAACAGAAGAAGUGGACUUUUUCCAUUCAUUUCCGCUAGUGAGAAGCAGGCUUUUAAUUUUCGUCAAACGUCAUAGAUAGAAGACACUCUUAAAAAUUAUAGUUUAGGGGAAUUUUUUUUCGUAAGUCAACAAACGCCAUGUGACGAAUCAGCCAAAGUUCUCUGAUGAGUCUCUUAGCCGGGAAGAAACUUUCGCCGCAAGGCAGGUUGGCAAAAUGUGCGCUGUUAACUUUUUUCCGUAACAAAAUUCUAACUCAACAACAACGACAUUUGUUGGUAAGUCGAUUAGCUGAUGCCUUGAAAACGAAGACAAUCAAAAAAAAUUCUGCCAAAAAAAUGAAACGAACGAAACUUGGUGGUAUACAAUCUGCAAAGUUAAUUACAUGAAACAAAUGCUCCUAUGAAAAAGUUGCAUUCUUCUCAGCAGUUGCCUCUUAUUUUCCUUUUAUACAACCGAUAAGAAUUUGGUUUUCUAUCCGGAAGAUUCAUUAAGGAUUCCCUCGAUGUAAUCCUUGCGGGUAAAAUUAAACUUCUCCCUAUUCACAAAUUUAUCAAAGUGGUAAUUCUCGAUUAUCGCAUGGAAGAACAAAAUUUCUUAAUUCCUUUCCUUUCGAUAGACUGAAAAACUUAAUAUCUCUCUCAAGUAUUUGGUAUUUAAAAAAAUGCAUUCUUUCUAACAUCUGGAAAAAGUAACUUUCCAUCUUAAAUAAUUAUUUUAUCGUUGGAUUUAUACAUACGGUUUCUUGCUGACGGCAAAUCGACAUUUACUGCUAUUUUUUGCACUAAGCCGACAAUACUCUCCUAAAAGCCGUUGUUUGCAAUCUUUAUUCCUUCACACUUUACAGAAAAUCUUUCCCUUACAUUUUAAUUUUCUCGUAUCAUACUUCGUCAACUAACAGGAAAGCUAGAUUUCGUGCUUUACAAAUGGGCAAAGUAUUCUUUCCUUAACGUAAUAUAGCGAAGUACUUCAGCGGAUAAAUCUUACUGCAGAAUAAAUUGUGAAAUGGAAAUCUUUGAUUGACGACCCAUUUAUUACGUGCAAGUUUGAUUGCGGAAAAUAAGUUACAUGAGGUGGAAAUCCUACUGCGUGGAUUUCUAAUUCUCCCAAUAUAGCAAACAACGAAACAUCGUAGCCUGUUUAAGGCUCCCCGAGGAAACUUUUCUGGCGUUAGCUUUUCUGUUGAUUUGUCUUUAAAAAUCAAUUUUAGUCACAAUUUUAUUGUAGAAUUAGACGAUGGGAAAAUGAAACAAGUCGAUUUGAUUGUGUUUUUUUUUUUCACGAACAAAAACAAUGGAACAAUAUUAGUCAGACAAACAUCACCUAUUGUAGUUGUACACGUUUCAAUAUUUCAGAAAUUCGUUCUAAAAACCCUGAACGAGGUGAAGUGAUGGAAGAGUAAAGACUACAUUGUAAUUUGCUACGCUUCCAUCGCGAAGAAUCUAGAGUAAAGGAGGCAUGUGUACAAUACAUGGGUGUUUGUAACUCGCAGAUCAAAGUGUCCUAUUUAGAUAAAUGGAUGGUUAGUGAGGCCUUUUGGUUGUUGAGCAAGACUUGGACAAUCUUUGCAAGUGAGCCGGCCCUUGGCAAUGAUGCCAUGAGUCGGUGCAGUUCUAGAUCACCAACCUCAUAACGUGCCAAGAACAAAAACGAUGCACAUGAAACGAAGGUGAGUCAAUUACUGAUAUUCUUCUUUUUUUUUUCAAAAUUUUGACGUCUUAAUGAUCUAUAAGCGAAGGAGCUCAUUGCAAAUUGCAACAGAUUCGAGUAAAAUAAUUAUUAGUUUACAAGAACUUGCCUCGCAGCGUAUUAGUGUUCUAGGAUUUGUCCUCGUAACACUUUCUUGACUUUUCUGACUCGUCUUAAAUAGCUUUUACGAGGCUUUCAGUUGCUCAAUUUAAAAUGUUCUCGCAAACGCUUUCACAGUUGUUCGCUGUAGUCAUGAUAGCGAACCAAACCAAAGAAGAAAUUUUGUUUAUAUGACCUUAGCGGCUCUUCCUUGACAGAUCAUAGCAACGUCCAAUCAUAGUGCGCAUAAGUCUUCAGUUCAUUGCUAAAUACUUUUGGUAAUCUGUGAGCCAUCAUUAUUUUUAGCGCUGCAGGAUGCACAUUUUUUUCGUCCUCGGAAUGAGUCGUGGAGACGUUUGCCGUGGGUCUCACAUUUGGGGCAAAAAACUCAAUAUAUUGGAAUGUGCCUUUUUUCGAAGAAUUCUUGUUGAAGCUGCAAUGCUUCAUACGCAAUUAGAUAUCUUGAGAGAACUAGACGCAAAAACUUUGGAAUGCACAGACUCAGACGUGGUAGAGGCGUAUCUUUCCACGCCGGAACUUGUACACCCAGAUCAAGAAUGGGUCUGUGAGAUCGAAGUUGAGGAGACCACAGGCAGC
Long non-coding RNA from Stylophora pistillata, 4430 nucleotides. Lineage: Eukaryota; Metazoa; Cnidaria; Anthozoa; Scleractinia; Pocilloporidae. The record is from RefSeq and is a predicted model, not a curated record.